CCUACGGGUGGCAGCAGUGGGGAAUAUUGGGCAAUGGGGGAAACCCUGACCCAGCGACGCCGCGUGAAGGAAGACGGCCUUCGGGUUGUAAACUUCUGUUCUUGGUGAAGAGGGAAAGACGGUAACCAAGGAGGAAGCCCCGGCUAACUACGUGCCAGCAGCCGCGGUAAUACGUAGGGGGCGAGCGUUGUCCGGAAUGAUUGGGCGUAAAGGGCGCGUAGGCGGCUACGGAAGUCUGGAGUGGAAGUCCUAUUUUCAAGGUAGGAAUUGCUUUGGAAACUCCGCAGCUUGAGUGCAGGAGAGGUUAUCGGAAUUCCCGGUGUAGCGGUGAAAUGCAUAGAGAUCGGGAGGAACACCAGUGGCGAAGGCGGGUAACUGGACUGCAACUGACGCUGAGGCGCGAAAGUGUGGGGAGCAAACAGGAUUAGAUACCCCUGUAGUC
RNAcentral lists this ribosomal RNA (442 nucleotides) under uncultured Eubacteriales bacterium. RNAcentral describes it as "bacterial SSU rRNA". It matches the Rfam family "Bacterial small subunit ribosomal RNA", at positions 338 to 795 of the family's 1533-position model. Lineage: Bacteria; Bacillati; Bacillota; Clostridia; Eubacteriales. The record is from RNAcentral.